Molecule: ribosomal RNA, 1514 nt
Filed under: uncultured Flavobacteriia bacterium
Lineage: Bacteria; Pseudomonadati; Bacteroidota; Flavobacteriia
Description: bacterial SSU rRNA
Rfam family: Bacterial small subunit ribosomal RNA
Source: RNAcentral
AGAGUUUGAUCCUGGCUCAGGAUGAACGCUAGCGGCAGGCUUAACACAUGCAAGUCGAACGGUAACAUUGGUGCUUGCACCAGAUGACGAGUGGCGCACGGGUGCGUAACGCGUAUGCAAUCUACCUUUUACUGGAGUAUAGCCCAGAGAAAUUUGGAAUAAUCCUCCAUAAUAUCAUUUAAUCGCAUGAUUUUUUGAUUAAAGCUUCGGUGGUAAAAGAUGAGCAUGCGUUCUAUUAGCUAGUAGGUAAGGUAAUGGCUUACCUAGGCAACGAUAGAUAGGGGUCCUGAGAGGGAGAUCCCCCACACUGGUACUGAGACACGGACCAGACUCCUACGGGAGGCAGCAGUGAGGAAUAUUGGACAAUGGACGAAAGUCUGAUCCAGCCAUGCCGCGUGCAGGAUGAAUGCCUUAUGGGUUGUAAACUGCUUUUAUAUAGGAAGAAAACCCUCCACGUGUGGAGGCUUGACGGUACUAUAAGAAUAAGGAUCGGCUAACUCCGUGCCAGCAGCCGCGGUAAUACGGAGGAUCCAAGCGUUAUCCGGAAUUAUUGGGUUUAAAGGGUCCGCAGGCGGCCUAUUAAGUCAGAGGUGAAAUCCAACAGCUCAACUGUUGAACUGCCUUUGAUACUGAUAGACUUGAGUUAUUGUGAAGUGGUUAGAAUGUGUGGUGUAGCGGUGAAAUGCUUAGAUAUCACACAGAAUACCCAUUGCGAAGGCAGAUCACUAACAAUAUACUGACGCUCAUGGACGAAAGCGUGGGGAGCGAACGGGAUUAGAUACCCCGGUAGUCCACGCCGUAAACGAUGGAUACUAACUGUUCGGUUUUAGGACUGAGUGGUCAAGCGAAAGUGAUAAGUAUCCCACCUGGGGAGUACGCUCGCAAGAGUGAAACUCAAAGGAAUUGACGGGGGCCCGCACAAGCGGUGGAGCAUGUGGUUUAAUUCGAUGAUACGCGAGGAACCUUACCAGGGCUUAAAUGUAGUGGGACAGAUUUAGAGAUAAAUCUUUCUUCGGACUCAUUACAAGGUGCUGCAUGGUUGUCGUCAGCUCGUGCCGUGAGGUGUCAGGUUAAGUCCUAUAACGAGCGCAACCCCUAUUGUUAGUUGCCAGCGGGUAAUGCCGGGAACUCUAGCGAAACUGCCGGUGCAAACCGAGAGGAAGGUGGGGAUGACGUCAAAUCAUCACGGCCCUUACGUCCUGGGCUACACACGUGCUACAAUGGUCGGUACAGAGAGCAGCCACUACGCGAGUAGGAGCGAAUCUAUAAAACCGAUCUCAGUUCGGAUCGCAGUCUGCAACUCGACUGCGUGAAGCUGGAAUCGCUAGUAAUCGGAUAUCAGCCAUGAUCCGGUGAAUACGUUCCCGGGCCUUGUACACACCGCCCGUCAAGCCAUGGAAGCUGGGGGUACCUGAAGUCGGUGACCGAAAGGAGCUGCCUAGGGUAAAACUAGUGACUGGGGCUAAGUCGUAACAAGGUAGCCGUACCGGAAGGUGCGGCUGGAACACCUCCUU